AUCUGGGUGGAGAUGCAAAACUAUGGUGGCGAACCAAAAAUGCUGACAUUCAGGCCAACAGGGUCCGAAUAGAUUCUUAGGAUCUCCUCAAGGAAGCAAUCAGAUUGCAAUUUUUCUCGGAGAAUGUCGAGUAUCAAGCUCGACGGGCACUUCGAGACCUGAAACAUACAAGAUCUAUCAGGGAGUAUGUGAAAUCAUUUUCAGGGCAUAUGCUGAAUAGUCGAGAUAUGUCGAAAAAAGAUAAGCUCUUCACCUUUAUGGAAGGGUUGAAACCAUGGACACGCACGAAACUUCAAAGACAGAAAGUUACUGAUUUGAGCACGGCCAUGGGAGCCGCCGAAUGCUUGAGCGACUACCAAACGGAAUCUAGAACAGAUAGACCUUCGGGGAAUAAUCAAGCAAUUGGAGGUGGUAACAGACCUUACAGACCCAGCUCGAACCCAAAUGGGGGAAAGCGUUACUCUCAGAAUAAAGGAAGAGCCUAUCAAAGCACCCGUGGCUUUCAGGGAAAUUAUCAUAAUAGUCGUCAAGAAAAUUUUAACGGCAGCAACAAUAACAACUGGAACAAAGGAAAAGCAACGGAGGGCCGAACUGAUGCUACUCCCAAAUUGAUGUGCUUUUUAUGCGAAGGACCCCAUCGGGUGUCGGAGUGUCCUCAGAAGCGGAUGGUGAAUGCAUAUUGUCAGCUAGCAAGUAGCGGGUCAAGUUCAAAGCAAGAGGCCCCACAGGUUAAUUGUCAUAAUGAGUCUGACUCUGAAGAUGAUGAGAACGUAGUUGGGGCAUUUUCACAUCGGUGCAACACACUGUCGCAUCAGGUUGCUGAAAAGGAUGAUUUCUCAUUGAAAGAGGCAAAGAUGGAAGAAAC
Molecule: long non-coding RNA, 865 nt
Filed under: Olea europaea subsp. europaea
Lineage: Eukaryota; Viridiplantae; Streptophyta; Magnoliopsida; Lamiales; Oleaceae
Source: RNAcentral